This is a long non-coding RNA of Gymnodraco acuticeps, 834 nucleotides long. RefSeq lists it as uncharacterized. Lineage: Eukaryota; Metazoa; Chordata; Actinopteri; Perciformes; Bathydraconidae. The record is from RefSeq and is a predicted model, not a curated record. The transcript has 3 exons.
UUACAAAGUUGACCCAGCAACUUUACACCAGUGGGAGAGGCAGAACUGCUCUUUCUUUUCAACAUAACUUAAGUUACACAUGAUUUCUUCCAAGUGGUUUGGCUUGUUAAAAACAUCUUACAUUUUUAGAUACAUUAUGAUACAGGAAAUUGCUGGCUUUGUAUUUACAGAAGUACCUGACUAUGCCUGACUUUUGUGCAGCCUACGGCUGCUCUAAUCGCCGCAGUCUGCAAACAAGAACCCGUGGAAUCACGUGUUUCCCAAAACCGGAGAGAGGAGGAGGCAGUGGGAAGUUGCCCUAAGAAGGGACGGUUUUGUUUCCUCUGGCAGGACGCUGCUCUGCAGUGAGUACUUCAGGAGUGAGGACUUUGACAGGACGGGGCAGACUGUCCGGCUUAAAGAUGGUGUUGUGCCAACAGUAUUCAAUUUCCCAGCUCAUCUUCAAAGGCCGGAAGCAACAAGAAGCACAACCACUUCAAGAAGAGCGGAAGAUGAACCUCAGCCUAAUGUUGUGAGUAUUCUGAAUGUGGCCAAGACCAGAGAGAUGGUCAUUGAUUUCAGGAGGGUGAGGACGUCUCUUCUACCCCUGUGCAUUCUGGGAGAGGAUGUGGCUGUUGUGGAGGACUACAAAUACCUGGGAGUGCACUUAGACAACGGACUGAACUGGAGGAUCAACACUGAUGCUGUGCACAAGAAGGGGAUGAGCAGACUCUAUUUUCUGAGGAAGCUGAGAUACUUCCACGUGUGCAGUAAGAUGCUGGAGAUCUUCUACCGGUCUGUUGUGGCCAGUGCACUCUUCUUUGCUCCGGUCUGCUGGGGGGGCAGCAUCAGAGC